Non-coding RNA from Pelobates cultripes (western spadefoot toad), 104 nucleotides. The record is from the annotation of a GenBank genome assembly. NCBI's taxonomy places the organism in Eukaryota, Metazoa, Chordata, Amphibia, Anura, Pelobatidae.
GAAACAAGGAAGUGGAGACAAUGUUUUGGCUCCUCUCUGAGCCUUUAUUAUGUGUUGAUGAAAGCUCGUAGAGGAGCCGAAACGUUGUCUUCAUUUUCUUGUUU